GACGAACGCUGGCGGCGUGCCUAAUACAUGCGAGUAGAACGCUGAAGGAGGAGCUUGCUUCUCUGGAUGAGUUGCGAACGGGUGAGUAACGCGUAGGUAACCUGCCUGGUAGCGGGGGAUAACUAUUGGAAACGAUAGCUAAUACCGCAUAAUAGUAGAUGUUGCAUGACAUUUACUUAAAAGGUGCAAUUGCAUCACUACCAGAUGGACCUGCGUUGUAUUAGCUAGUUGGUGGGGUAACGGCUCACCAAGGCGACGAUACAUAGCCGACCCGAGAGGGUGAUCGGCCACACUGGGACUGAGACACGGCCCAGACUCCUACGGGAGGCAGCAGUAGGGAAUCUUCGGCAAUGGACGGAAGUCUGACCGAGCAACGCCGCGUGAGUGAAGAAGGUUUUCGGAUCGUAAAGCUCUGUUGUAAGAGAAGAACGAGUGUGAGAGUGGAAAGUUCACACUGUGACGGUAUCUUACCAGAAAGGGACGGCUAACUACGUGC
This 496-nucleotide ribosomal RNA is filed under the name uncultured Streptococcus sp. RNAcentral describes it as "bacterial SSU rRNA". It matches the Rfam family "Bacterial small subunit ribosomal RNA", at positions 28 to 508 of the family's 1533-position model. The record is from RNAcentral. Lineage: Bacteria; Bacillati; Bacillota; Bacilli; Lactobacillales; Streptococcaceae.